UGUAGGAGAUAUUUGAUUUUUAAUCUUGUUAAUCCUAUUCAUCCCCGUCGGGAUGAAACGAAGGGGCCCUUAGGGCUCGUUCGGCACACCUCAAAACCAAGGGGAAUGAAAGGGAUUAGGACAAGGAUGGGAUUAACUGAACAAUGGCUUAAUUUUUUUUCCAUGUAAUUACGUUAGUAGAAGUUUGGACAUAUUCUCCUUCCCCUCUUUACAUCCUCUGAUUUUUUUCUACUGUACAAAUUGUUUACUCCGGGCUUAAUAAAAGAAAUUGCCGAAUUUCAUAAAAAAAGAAAAAACAUGUUUAUGCACUACGUUGUAUUUAAGUAUUCUGAGUGUCUAUUUUUCAGUCGACAAUCAUAUCCAUCCGAUCUAGAUUUUCUCAUGCAUAAUUCUUGCAUUUGACAAAAAAAAUAGUUAUUUCUCGGUUGCCUUAGAAAUAGCAAAACAGUAAAGUAUUUUAUAGUGUGUCAUUUAUUUUAUUUUUGUUGUGGAGUAGUUAUUUAAGACAGAAAGAGUAAAAAAAUAGAUAGAUAAAAAAAGUAAAACAUGAAAAAUAAAUAGCGGUAAUAAUAUCCGAGAUGGGUUGAAACAUCAGUAAAGUGCACCGGAGGUCCCGAUUGUUUUUAAAAUGUGCCAAUUUGUUCCUAAAUUUUGGAAAUGCACGAUUAGGUCCUAAUAUUUUUUUAAACCGUUCACCACAUUUCCUAAGUGUGUAUCUGCUAAUCUGAUCAACUGAUGUCCCCGUUUAACCAGCGCCAAGUAGGCUUGGGCCCACCUGUCGGGUAACAAAUCAGAUUGCCAUUUGCCAAAAAAAAAAGAUACAUUUCGGUCCAUUUGAAAUCAAGUAAACCUGGUAUCAUUUUGGCUCGUUGUAUGGGCACAA
Molecule: long non-coding RNA, 883 nt
Filed under: Brachypodium distachyon (stiff brome)
Lineage: Eukaryota; Viridiplantae; Streptophyta; Magnoliopsida; Poales; Poaceae
Description: long non-coding RNA (BDIS_LNC006035)
Source: RNAcentral